Pieris napi is the source of this 749-nucleotide long non-coding RNA. RefSeq lists it as uncharacterized. The transcript has 3 exons. The record is from RefSeq and is a predicted model, not a curated record. NCBI's taxonomy places the organism in Eukaryota, Metazoa, Arthropoda, Insecta, Lepidoptera, Pieridae.
CACCUGCUCUUUUUAUAAUUAAAGAUGUGAAUUCUUCAUCUAUGCUAAUUUAAAAUAAAAUGACAAAUCUUCAAAAAAUUGGCACACUAUAUUUUUGGUGACUUUGAAUAUUUUAUUUUGUUAUCUCAGUUUUGUAUUUUAUUUUCGACUGAAACUUGAAAUGUAUACUUAUCAAUAAUUUUGAUAUACUUUUAGCAAGCGCGUUCCCAACUGAUUAGCUUAAAUUUAAUUUAAUCAAAAAUACAGUAAGCAAAAUGUCUGAUAUGAUAAUUAAUGAUUCAGUUCCAGUUGAUAAAAAAUGGAGCGAACUAAUACGAUACAAUAUUUUUAUUAUGAAGCUGGUGGAAUUUGGCAUUUCACUUUUUAUCCUGUGCCUUCCGGUGAUAAUUCCAAAACCUCAAGGGCACAUGUACUGCAUUGCCACCGGACCGACAACAGUAAUAUCUAUGUUGUUUGUUAUUUUAUAUUUGCGACAAAAAGUACCUUUAUUUAUGGAAAAAAUGUACCUGGUUUUUCAAAUAUUUUUUACAUUUGGAGCGUUCAUUCAAUGUUUUUUGUUAAAUCUUGUAAGAGUCUGGUUAUGGUUAAUUUAUGGAGUAUGUUAUUUCGCUCUUUUAACGGCGUUAUCUUUAGAUCUAUUUCUAAUUGCUAAUGAAAGAGGAUGUACAUUUAGCUGUGCAUAAAAUAUUACAAAUAGUAUUAUUUUUUUUAUAGUUUAAUACUAUGUUAAAAUAAAAAACAGAAUCUUU